RNAcentral lists this long non-coding RNA (936 nucleotides) under Citrus x clementina. Its description in RNAcentral is "Citrus clementina (C. clementina) long non-coding RNA (CCLE_LNC002229)". The record is from RNAcentral. Lineage: Eukaryota; Viridiplantae; Streptophyta; Magnoliopsida; Sapindales; Rutaceae.
CCGCGGACGAAGUUCGCCCACGCCCCCCACCAAGGCUAUAGCCCACCCGUUUUUUGGCCAUUUUUCCGCUGGGGGGUCUUGGGACCCCGACCUUCGGGGUCUGAUUUUUGGGCGCGGCUGUGCCCGUGGCCUAUUUUUGGCACACAGAGGCCGCCCGCCAAGUAUGGUGCCAUUCCGAGUCCCGCGGACGAACUUCGCCCACGCCCCCCACCAAGGCUAUAGCCCACCCGUUUUUUGGCCAUUUUUCCGCUGGGGGGUCUUGGGACCCCGACCUUCGGGGGCUGAUUUUUGGGCGCGGCUGUGCCCGUGGUCUAUUUUUGGCACACGGAGGCCGCCCGCCAAGUCAGGGGCCAUUCCGAGUCCCGCGGACGAACUUCGCCCACGCCGCCCACCAAGGCUAUAGCCCACCCGUUUUUUGGCCAUUUUUCCGCUGGGGGGUCUUGGGACCCCGACCUUCGGGGGCUGAUUUUUGUGCGCGGCUGUGCCCGUGGCCUAUUUUUGGCACACAGAGGCCGCCCGCCAAGUAUGGUGCCAUUCCGAGUCCCGCGGACGAACUUCGCCCACGCCCCCCACCAAGGCUAUAGCCCACCCGUUUUUUGGCCAUUUUUCCGCUGGGGGGUCUUGGGACCCCGACCUUCGGGGGCUGAUUUUUGGGCGCGGCUGUGCCCGUGGCCUAUUUUUGGCACACGGAGGCCGCCCGCCAAGUCAGGGGCCAUUCCGAGUCCCGCGGAUGAAGUUCGCCCACGCCCCCCACCAAGGCUAUAGCCCACCCGUUUUUUGGCCAUUUUUCCACUGGGGGGUCUUGGGACCCCGACCUUCGGGGGCUGAUUUUUGUACGCGGCUGUGCCCGUGGCCUAUUUUUGGCACACAGAGGCCGCCCGCCAAGUAUGGUGCCAUUCCGAGUCCCGCGGACGAACUUCGCCCACGCCCCCCACC